Molecule: ribosomal RNA, 407 nt
Filed under: uncultured bacterium
Lineage: Bacteria
Description: partial 16S ribosomal RNA
Rfam family: Bacterial small subunit ribosomal RNA
Source: RNAcentral
GACGAACGCUGGCGGCGUGCCUAAUACAUGCAAGUAGGACGCAGUUGCGAACGGGUGAGUAACGCGUAGGUAACUACCUAUUAGAGGGGGAUAACUAUUGGAAACGAUAGCUAAUACCGCAUACUAGUAGAUUGACCUGCGUUGUAUUAGCUAGUAGGUAGGGUAAUGGCCUACCUAGGCAACGAUACAUAGCCGACCCGAGAGGGUGAUCGGCCACAAUUGGCAGGAGACACGGCCCAGACUCCGACGGGAGGCAGCAGUAGGGAAACGUCGGCAAUGGGGCGAACCCUGACCGAGCAACGCCGCGUGAGUGAAGAAGGUGUUCGGAUCGUAAAACUCUGUUGUUAAGGGAGCGGUACUUAACCAGAAAGGGACGGCUAACUACGUGCCAGCCGCCGCGGUAAUAC